UACACUCCUGCGGGAGGCAGCAGUGGGGAAUUUUGGACAAUGGGCGAAAGCCUGAUCCAGCAAUGCCGCGUGAGUGAAGAAGGCCUUCGGGUUGUAAAGCUCUUUUGUCAGGGAAGAAACGGUGAGAGCUAAUAUCUUUUGCUAAUGACGGUACCUGAAGAAUAAGCACCGGCUAACUACGUGCCAGCAGCCGCGGUAAUACGUAGGGUGCAAGCGUUAAUCGGAAUUACUGGGCGUAAAGCGUGCGCAGGCGGUUUUGUAAGUCUGAUGUGAAAUCCCCGGGCUCAACCUGGGAAUUGCAUUGGAGACUGCAAGGCUAGAAUCUGGCAGAGGGGGGUAGAAUUCCACGUGUAGCAGUGAAAUGCGUAGAUAUGUGGAGGAACACCGAUGGCGAAGGCAGCCCCCUGGGUCAAGAUUGACGCUCAUGCACGAAAGCGUGGGGAGCAAACAGGAUUAGAUACCCCAGUAGUCCCAUG
RNAcentral lists this ribosomal RNA (476 nucleotides) under uncultured organism. Its description in RNAcentral is "partial 16S ribosomal RNA". It matches the Rfam family "Bacterial small subunit ribosomal RNA", at positions 332 to 799 of the family's 1533-position model. The record is from RNAcentral.